Molecule: long non-coding RNA, 258 nt
Filed under: Mytilus galloprovincialis (Mediterranean mussel)
Lineage: Eukaryota; Metazoa; Mollusca; Bivalvia; Mytilida; Mytilidae
Source: RNAcentral
UUGUCCUUUUUCUAAUAAUAUUCUUUAUUGUUUUACUUUGUUGGUCCUUGAUUUAGCAAUAUCCUUUAUUUUUUUCGUUGUUUGUCCUUUAUUUAGCAUAAUGUUUAUUUUCUUACUUUUUGUGUCCUUUUUUUUUUAGCAAAAAUUUUUCUUGUUUUAUUUUGUUUGUCCUUUAUUAGGGACCGGUCAAAAUUCAUCGUCACAUAGGACCGGUGCAAAAAAUAAAAACAUUUAAUAAAAGUUACAACCCUAUGGCUU